RNAcentral lists this ribosomal RNA (517 nucleotides) under uncultured bacterium. RNAcentral describes it as "partial 16S ribosomal RNA". The record is from RNAcentral.
ACACUGUUCAUGGGUUACCGCGGCUGCUGGCACGGAGUUAGCCGGUGCUUCUUCUGUGAGUGAUGUCCUUCCUGCCGGCUAUUAACCCGCAGGCCUUCUUCCUCACUGAAGUGCUUUACAACCCGAAGGCCUUCUUCACACACGCGGCAUGGCUGGAUCAGGGUUGCCCCCAUUGUCCAAUAUUCCCCACUGCUGCCUCCCGUAGGAGUCUGGGCCGUGUCUCAGUCCCAGUGUGGCUGAUCAUCCUCUCAGACCAGCUACGGAUCGUCGCCUUGGUGAGCCGUUACCUCACCAACCAGCUAAUCCGACAUAGGCUCAUCCGAUAGCGCGAGGCCCGAAGGUCCCCCGCUUUCCCCCGUAGGGCGUAUGCGGUAUUAGCCUGGGUUUCCCCAGGUUAUCCCCCACUACCGGGCAGAUUCCUAUGCAUUACUCACCCGUCCGCCGCUCGCCACCAGGGAGCAAGCUCCCCGUGCUGCCGCUCGACUUGCAUGUGUUAGGCCUGCCGCCAGCGUUCAAU